CAAGCUUCAUCAUGGUCUCCAGAGAGGACAUUCCAACAUGGCAAAGGGUUAUGGCUAUGUCUGGUCACUCAACUGUGGCCUGGUCUCCAAAACUUUGAAGGCAAAACCCUUUAGGCACUUUGUGGAGCUCUGAAAGGAGGAAGAUUGCCAGUGACUUCACAGACAGGCAGCACAAGCUUCACCCAAAGUCACAGCCUCAACAAAACAGCUCUUUGGAUCUCAUAAAUGACACAGAAAAGAGCCAUCAGCAAGUGGCUAGCUACCUGCAAAGGGCUUUGAUUUUGAAAAGCAAAGCAACUCAAGAAAUCUUUAGGUUUGCCAGGUAGAGAUGUGUUAAGCUGCGCUGAUAUUCACUGCAUCAUCCUUCAGAGGAUGAGACUUUUCUUUCCCUUACUCUCAAGCUUGUUUUACCGUGUGUAGCCCUCUUUCUGUUAGAGAAAUUCUAUUCUUCUGCCCCAAUAAUACUAGGCUUAGACAGAUCGUCACCAGGAAAAGUGGAAAUAUUUAUGAGCAGAAACUUUAAGAAAACCAUCUCAAGGGUCUGUGGGCUCUGCCUUCCAGCUGGGUAAAGAUGCCGCCUCUUCUAGAAUUCUACAGCAAGAAGAAAGCAGAGAGAACGCAGACCAUUAUCCAUGACAGAAGCCAAAUGGAGAAGCUGCUACCCCUUUAAAGGGCAAGCAUGAACCUUUGGAGGCAAACUGCAACAAAUACAACAGAUACACACCCAUUUUCUAAACCUCUGUAGCUGUUGGAGAUGAGAUUGGACGCAUCCUGACCCAUGUCUGUCCAUCAGAAGUUUCUG
Molecule: long non-coding RNA, 802 nt
Filed under: Rattus norvegicus (Norway rat)
Lineage: Eukaryota; Metazoa; Chordata; Mammalia; Rodentia; Muridae
Description: long non-coding RNA NONRATT002066
Source: RNAcentral